This 1153-nucleotide ribosomal RNA is filed under the name Chlamydia trachomatis. RNAcentral's name for it is "partial 23S ribosomal RNA". It matches the Rfam family "Bacterial large subunit ribosomal RNA", at positions 945 to 2087 of the family's 2925-position model. The record is from RNAcentral. Lineage: Bacteria; Pseudomonadati; Chlamydiota; Chlamydiia; Chlamydiales; Chlamydiaceae.
GAAAUCAAACUCCGAAUACCAGAAGCGAGUCCGGGAGAUAGACAGCGGGGGCUAAGCUUCGUUGUCGAGAGGGGAACAGCCCAGACCGCCGAUUAAGGUCCCUAAUUUUAUGCUAAGUGGGUAAGGAAGUGAUGAUUCGAAGACAGUUGGAAUGUUGGCUUAGAGGCAGCAAUCAUUUAAAGAGUGCGUAACAGCUCACCAAUCGAGAAUCAUUGCGCCGAUAAUAAACGGGACUAAGCAUAAAACCGACAUCGCGGGUGUGUCGAUAAGACACGCGGUAGGAGAGCGUAGUAUUCAGCAGAGAAGGUGUACCGGAAGGAGCGCUGGAGCGGAUACUAGUGAAGAUCCAUGGCAUAAGUAACGAUAAAGGGAGUGAAAAUCUCCCUCGCCGUAAGCCCAAGGUUUCCAGGGUCAAGCUCGUCUUCCCUGGGUUAGUCGGCCCCUAAGUUGAGGCGUAACUGCGUAGACGAUGGAGUAGCAGGUUAAAUAUUCCUGCACCACCUAAAACUAUAGCGAAGGAAUGACGGAGUAAGUUAAGCACGCGGACGAUUGGAAGAGUUCGUAGAGCGAUGAGAACGGUUAGUAGGCAAAUCCGCUAACAUAAGAUCAGGUCGCGAUCAAGGGGAAUCUUCGGGGGAACCGAUGGUGUGGAGCGAGGCUUUCAAGAAAUAAUUUCUAGCUGUUGAUGGUGACCGUACCAAAACCGACACAGGUGGGCGAGAUGAAUAUUCUAAGGCGCGCGAGAUAACUUUCGUUAAGGAACUCGGCAAAUUAUCCCCGUAACUUCGGAAUAAGGGGAGCCUUUUAGGGUGACUAUGGAACGAUAGGAGCCCCGGGGGGCCGCAGAGAAAUGGCCCAGGCGACUGUUUAGCAAAAACACAGCACUAUGCAAACCUCUAAGGGGAAGUAUAUGGUGUGACGCCUGCCCAAUGCCAAAAGGUUAAAGGGAUAUGUCAGCUGCAAAGUGAAGCAUUGAACCUAAGCCCUGGUGAAUGGCCGCCGUAACUAUAACGGUGCUAAGGUAGCGAAAUUCCUUGUCGGGUAAGUUCCGACCUGCACGAAUGGUGUAACGAUCUGGGCACUGUCUCAACGAAAGACUCGGUGAAAUUGUAGUAGCAGUGAAGAUGCUGUUUACCCGCGAAAGGACGAAAAG